GAUAAGACUCAUGCUUAUACCUACUUAUAAAAGGUUUGCUAACAUCAAAUUGGUUUGUGUCCGUUGAUUAUUAUAACAAUGAAGUCUUUAAUCGUACUGUUCGCGUUGUUUUACACAUGCACUGCAUUUGGUUUUAAUGUGCCAUCCUCGUAUAUAAAAUCAUGGGAACAUACGAUAUCGCCUGUAAGGGAUGACUGUUUAAAUGAAAGUGGGUUGGAGCGACAGGUACUCUACGAUGCAUUGUUCACUAUGAAUUUCCCCGACAGCCCCGAGUUUAAGUGUUUUUCCGCAUGUGUUUGGACGCAUUUAGAGUAUUAUGACUCUACCACAAGGAAAAUAAAUGCGAACAAAAUUGGACAGGAAGUGAGGGGAUUUACACCAAAAAUUGCUGAAGCUUGUUAUGAUAAGCACAGGGCUAAUAGAAAUUCAUGUGAAAUGGUCUUCUCUAUCAUCAAAUGUGGCAUUGUGGAAAUGUAAAUUAUGGCUCCCAGGAAAUCGGAUUCCUAUACCGUAGAAUUUAAGGUUUAUUAUGUAUUUGUUAUGUAAAAUCUUAAAGAAAUUCAAAUAUAAUUUUUCUCGUUA
Long non-coding RNA from Photinus pyralis (common eastern firefly), 582 nucleotides. RefSeq lists it as uncharacterized. The transcript is spliced from 2 exons. NCBI's taxonomy places the organism in Eukaryota, Metazoa, Arthropoda, Insecta, Coleoptera, Lampyridae. The record is from RefSeq and is a predicted model, not a curated record.